This 250-nucleotide ribosomal RNA is filed under the name uncultured bacterium. RNAcentral's name for it is "partial 16S ribosomal RNA". It matches the Rfam family "Bacterial small subunit ribosomal RNA", at positions 505 to 754 of the family's 1533-position model. The record is from RNAcentral.
GUGCCAGCAGCCGCGGUAAUACGAAGGGGGCUAGCGUUGUUCGGAUUUACUGGGCGUAAAGCGCACGUAGGCGGAUCGAUCAGUCAGGGGUGAAAUCCCAGAGCUCAACUCUGGAACUGCCUUUGAUACUGUCGAUCUGGAGUAUGGAAGAGGUGAGUGGAAUUCCGAGUGUAGAGGUGAAAUUCGUAGAUAUUCGGAGGAACACCAGUGGCGAAGGCGGCUCACUGGUCCAUUACUGACGCUGAGGUGC